This 1143-nucleotide long non-coding RNA is filed under the name Heterocephalus glaber (naked mole-rat). Its description in RNAcentral is "lncRNA (ENSHGLG00100048366.1)". The record is from RNAcentral. Lineage: Eukaryota; Metazoa; Chordata; Mammalia; Rodentia; Bathyergidae.
CGCAGGUACACAGUGGAGAUGUUGAGGAACUGGUGUAGGAACAGUAGAGGAACUGUCUAUAGAGGAACUUCAGCAGCUUCUGGAUGAGCAGCAGGGAAUGGCAGCUGAGGACCCUUUCUGAAGAGGAGGGGGAGCAUCAACAAUCAGUGCAGCAAUGUUCUUCUGCAAUAAAGGAAAUCCUGAAAAACUGGACAGAGCUACACACAUUUGUAGAGAAGACCCAGACAGAGGAAAAGCUAAUUGCUGCAUUCACUUGCUUAAUGACGAUGUCAUGUCAUGCUACAGAACAGUGUUACAGACAGAAGCAGACAACCUUAGACCAGCUUUUAAAUCUGAAAAGGUUGAAACCUACUGAGUCAGAGCAAGUCCUAGUGAGCUACAGACCCUCCCAAGGAGAGAAACGACACCAGAGAGCCAGACUUCUGAUGCUCUUCUCCUUCCAAAGAGUUACCACCUUCCGUUCAUCCUCCCUUCCUACAAGCCAGAGAUGUCAACUUGAAAGCCAUUCCUCCUCUUUUCCUUGGACUGAAAUGUGCAUGCAAUUGUAUAAACUCUCGAGAUGGCCCCUGAGGAAAGGUUGAGGUUUGGAAGCCCUAAGACUGCGAUUUACGUGACACUUCCAAUGCCCUGAAGAAGAAGAAGAAGAAGGAAACCUUGAUGUGGCAGAGACAGUCUUGGCUGCCCCACCCACCCCAUCCCUGAGGUCAGCGGUGAUCCACCAUGUUCUCCCACUGAGCUCCGGGACAGGCUGGGCCUCUGGAGCCACCCUUCCUGCUCAUCUACCUUCCAGCCGAGACCCACAAGGCUUGGGCAUUUAGGAGCAGCUCCUUGGCUCGGCUGUCUAAUGAUGUGGGCAUAAUGCAAAAAGUGCCCUUUGCCUUCUCCCUCGGCUGCAAACAGAGCAGGCUGGAGGUCUCUGUGGAUAUUGGGACUGGAAAUAUAGCAGAAUUGUUCUUAUGUCCUCUAUGCUCAGUCUUCGUGUCUUUUUGGUCAUGUGACUACCCUUUUGAGAAAGAUUGGAACAAAAGAAGUGAUUGAGUGGCAGUGGGUCGGUCUCUGCGUGGGGCUAACUGUUGGCAGAUUUUAUUAUUGGAUAAUACAAAGCCAAUCUAACCUUCAGUCUUUCCUUCUUUUAACACUGGA